GUGUCAGCCGCCGCGGUAAUACGUAGGGUGCGAGCGUUAAUCGGAAUUACUGGGCGUAAAGCGUGCGCAGGCGGUGCACCAAGCUCGAUGUGAAAGCCCCGGGCUUAACCUGGGAAUUGCAUUGAGGACUGGUGUGCUCGAGUGCGGCAGAGGGGGGUGGAAUUCCACGUGUAGCAGUGAAAUGCGUAGAGAUGUGGAGGAACACCGAUGGCGAAGGCAGCCCCCUGGGCCGACACUGACGCUCAUGCACGAAAGCGUGGGGAGCAAACAGGAUUAGAAACCCCCGUAGUCC
RNAcentral lists this ribosomal RNA (292 nucleotides) under uncultured bacterium. RNAcentral's name for it is "partial 16S ribosomal RNA". It matches the Rfam family "Bacterial small subunit ribosomal RNA", at positions 505 to 796 of the family's 1533-position model. The record is from RNAcentral.